UACAGAGGGUGCGAGCGUUAAUCGGAAUUACUGGGCGUAAAGCGUGCGUAGACGGUUAUUUAAGUCGGGUGUGAAAGCCCCGGGCUCAACCUGGGAAUUGCAUUCGAGACUGAAUAGCUAGGGUACGGUAGAGGGAAGCGGAAUUUCCGGUGUAGCGGUGAAAUGCGUAGAUAUCGGAAGGAACAUCAGUGGCGAAAGCGGCUUCCUGGACCAGUACCGACGUUCAGGCACGAAAGCGUGGG
Molecule: ribosomal RNA, 242 nt
Filed under: uncultured bacterium
Lineage: Bacteria
Description: partial 16S ribosomal RNA
Rfam family: Bacterial small subunit ribosomal RNA
Source: RNAcentral